This 339-nucleotide transfer-messenger RNA is filed under the name Salmonella enterica subsp. enterica. It matches the Rfam family "transfer-messenger RNA". From Rfam's summary of the family: Bacterial tmRNA, also known as 10Sa RNA or SsrA, is named for its dual tRNA and mRNA-like properties. Its role is to liberate the mRNA from a stalled ribosome. Lineage: Bacteria; Pseudomonadati; Pseudomonadota; Gammaproteobacteria; Enterobacterales; Enterobacteriaceae. The record is from RNAcentral.
GGGGCUGAUUCUGAUUCGACGGGAUUUGCGAAACCCAAGGUGCAUGCCGAGGGCGGUUGCCCGUAAAAGCCGCAAAAAAUAGUCGCAAACGACGAAACCUACGCUUAGCAGCUAUCAACCUGCUUAGAGCCCCUCCCAGCCUCCGCUCGACGGGGAUCAAGAGAUUUCAAACCCAAAAGAGAUCGCGGAUGCCCUGCCCGCUGAAGCGUUAAAACGAAUCAGGCUAGUCUGGCAGUGGCGUGUCCAACCGCAGGUGCCAAAGCGAAUGUAAAGACUGACUAAGCAUGUAGUACCGAGUGAUGUAGGAAUUUUCGAUCGUAACUCCUGCCAGCUCCACUA